ACGAACGCUGGCGGCGUGCCUCAUCCCUGCCAGUAGAACGCACAGUUUAUACCGUAGCUUGCUACACCAUAACCUGUGAGUUGCGAACGGGUGAGUAACGCGUAGGUAACCUGCCUGGUAGCGGGGGAUAACUAUUGGAAACGAUAGCUAAUACCGCAUAAUAUUAAUUAUUGCAUGAUAAUUGAUUGAAAGAUGCAAUUGCAUCACUACCAGAUGGACCUGCGUUGUAUUAGCUAGUAGGUGAGGUAACGGCUCACCUAGGCGACGAUACAUAGCCGACCUGAGAGGGUGAUCGGCCACACUGGGACUGAGGCACGGCCCAGACUCCUACGGGAGGCAGCAGUAGGGAAUCUUCGGCAAUGGACGAAAGUCUGACCGAGCAACGCCGCGUGAGUGAAGAAGGGUUUCGGAUCGUAAAGCUCUGUUGUAAGAGAAGAACGGGUGUGAGAGUGGAAAGUUCACACUGUGACGGUAUCUUACCAGAAAGGGACGGCUAACUACGUG
RNAcentral lists this ribosomal RNA (504 nucleotides) under uncultured bacterium. RNAcentral describes it as "partial 16S ribosomal RNA". It matches the Rfam family "Bacterial small subunit ribosomal RNA", at positions 29 to 507 of the family's 1533-position model. The record is from RNAcentral.